UCAGGUGCCAGUUAGAUGUAUAAUGAAUAAACAAAUUCCUGUUUAUUUACCUAAUUAUUAGGUUGUGGACAUUUGCUGGACGGUUAAAAAAUGAAAUUUUGUCCAAUGUCUUAUUUUUAAAAAUAAAUGCCCACAAAUCAAAGGUUAAGAUUGUUCAACUAAUUUGAGUUUUAGUUGGAAGUUAGAGGAACUGUUCCAUGAUUUUAAUUUGAGUUGAUGUGUGCCACAUACACCAUUUGUAUGUGCUUGUGCAUCAUGUGCCAGUAGCCAAAAUAUCAAACAAUUCCCCUUUCAAAUUGAUGUAGAGAAGGCUGCGGAUGCAUUAUUUGCAUAACUGGAUU
Long non-coding RNA from Magnolia sinica, 341 nucleotides. RefSeq lists it as uncharacterized. Lineage: Eukaryota; Viridiplantae; Streptophyta; Magnoliopsida; Magnoliales; Magnoliaceae. The transcript has 2 exons. The record is from RefSeq and is a predicted model, not a curated record.